Homo sapiens (human) is the source of this 885-nucleotide long non-coding RNA. RefSeq lists it as uncharacterized. Lineage: Eukaryota; Metazoa; Chordata; Mammalia; Primates; Hominidae. The record is from RefSeq and is a predicted model, not a curated record. The transcript is spliced from 3 exons.
CACAGCUAUUUGGGAACACAGAAAGGAUUCUCUGGGCCCGAGUUGGAAAAUGGAACCAUCUAGAACAUGUCACAUUUGCUUCUACCUCCUGUUUUUUUUUUUUUUUUUCUUCCUCUAUGCCUUGAGGUCUUGAUAUCUCCCACCCUCACUCCUAUUCUAUCUCCACUCCUCUGAGUUAGGUCUACCCUAACUUUUUAGACCAUGGACAUUCACAGCCAGGAGGGACCUUAGGGAGCCUACAAACUUUUCUUCUACAAUCUAUAGCUUCUUGUUUUAAAGUUAGAGAAACUGAAGCCUAAGAGAGGAAAGCAAUUUUUUUUUAAUGAAAGUAACAUCUGUUUCAGGUCUAUUAGGUACAGGUUUCUUACAUGUGUUCUCUCAUUUUAUCCUCAAAAUAACUGAGUUAGGAAUCACAUUGCCAUUUUUCAGAUGAUGAAAUGGAGACUCCUGGAGACAAAGCAGAAAGGAUGCUUGGGGCGGAUUGCCUAGGAUUAUAUUCCAUCUCCAGCACUUACCAGCUGUGUGAUCUUGGGCAAGUGGUUUACCUUCUCUGUGCUUCAAGUUGCUGGAGAAAGGUGGGGAGAAAAAUAAGAGCUGGAAAACACAUGGCCCUAAACAGGCACUGGCGACUGCCCCUGGCUGCCUCUCUGAAUUCAUGUCACAUCACAACAGCUUGCCUGGCACUUGUUUCCUCAGUUGCUGUUUCCUGGAGCUCCUUCCAUCAGGGUGGGUCUUUCUGACCUGCAAGUCCCCUCCAUACCUCAUAAGCCUUGGGCAGAUGCUCAGUGAGUAUCCACAGUAUGGACGAAAAAUGAUUCAACAGCUUCCUGCACCCAAACCAGGUCAGACCAUCGGGGCUUGAGGAGUAUUACAGAGUGGCAGGAG